RNAcentral lists this ribosomal RNA (253 nucleotides) under uncultured bacterium. Its description in RNAcentral is "partial 16S ribosomal RNA". It matches the Rfam family "Bacterial small subunit ribosomal RNA", at positions 524 to 776 of the family's 1533-position model. The record is from RNAcentral.
GACGUACCACCCAAACGUUAUUCGGAAUCACUGGGCUUAAAGGGUCCGUAGGCGGUCAGGAAAGUUGGGUGUGAAAUCCCUCAGCUCAACUGAGGAAUUGCGCUCAAAACUACCUGGCUUGAGAAAGACAGAGGUGAGCGGAACUGAUGGUGGAGCGGUGAAAUGCAUUGAUAUCAUCAGGAACACCGGUGGCGAAAGCGGCUCACUGGGUCUUUUCUGACGCUGAUGGACGAAAGCUAGGGGAGCGAACGGG